RNAcentral lists this ribosomal RNA (2388 nucleotides) under Rhodospirillales bacterium. Its description in RNAcentral is "bacterial LSU rRNA". It matches the Rfam family "Bacterial large subunit ribosomal RNA", at positions 14 to 2505 of the family's 2925-position model. The record is from RNAcentral. Lineage: Bacteria; Pseudomonadati; Pseudomonadota; Alphaproteobacteria; Rhodospirillales.
AGAGCAUCUGGUGAAUGCCUUGGCGUCGAGAGGCGAUGAAGGACGUGGCACCCUGCGAUAAGCCUCGGGGAGAUGGGAGCAAUCUUUGAUCCGAGGAUUUCCGAAUGGGGAAACCCACCCCUUUAGGGGUAUCCGUAUCUGAAUACAUAGGGUACGGAGGCAAACCCGGUGAACUGAAACAUCUCAGUAACCGGAGGAAAGGACAUCAACAGAGACUCCCCUAGUAGUGGCGAGCGAACGGGGACCAGGCCAGUGGCGAGUGCGUAAGAACCGGAACCGUCUGGAAAGUCGGGCCUUAGUGGGUGAUAGCCCCGUACGGGUAGAAAGCGCAUUUGUCCUUGAGUAGGGCGGGACACGUGAAAUCCUGUCUGAACGUGGGGGGACCACCCUCCAAGCCUAAGUACUCCUUGACGACCGAUAGUGAACCAGUACCGUGAGGGAAAGGUGAAAAGCACCCCGAUGAGGGGAGUGAAAGAGAUCCUGAAACCGGAUGCUUACAAGCAGUCGGAGGGACCCCCUUUCAAAUCGCCCAGCGAUUUGAAGGAGCUCCAGAUAUUUAUCAAGUCGUGGAGCGAUUUGAUGGGGUGUCCUGACGGCGUACCUUUUGUAUAAUGGGCCAGCGAGUUAGUCUUACGAGCAAGCUUAAGCCGUUAGGUGUAGGCGCAGCGAAAGCGAGUCUGAAUAGGGCGAUUGAGUUCGUGGGAUUAGACCCGAAACCGGGUGAUCUAGGCAUGAGCAGGUUGAAGGUGCGGUAACACGCACUGGAGGACCGAACCCACCUAUGUUGAAAAAUGGGGGGAUGACUUGUGCCUAGGGGUGAAAGGCCAAUCAAACCCGGAAAUAGCUGGUUCUCCGCGAAAACUAUUUAGGUAGUGCGUCUUGUGUUUACCUUCGGGGGUAGAGCACUGGAUGGGCUAGGGGGCCCCACAGGCUUACCAAACCCAACCAAACUCCGAAUACCGAAGAGUACAGCAAGGCAGACAGACUCUGGGUGCUAAGGUCCAGAGUCGAAAGGGAAACAGCCCAGACCACCAGCUAAGGUCCCCAAGUCACGACUAAGUGGAAAAGGAUGUGGGAAGGCCAUGACAACCAGGAGGUUGGCUUAGAAGCAGCCAUCCUUUAAAGAAAGCGUAACAGCUCACUGGUCUAGUUAAGCCGUCCUGCGCCGAAAAUGUACCGGGGCUCAAGUCGUGCACCGAAGCUGUGGACUUCCUUCGGGAAGUGGUAGCGGAGCGUUCCGUAAGCCAGUGAAGGCAAACCGUGAGGGUUGCUGGAGGUAUCGGAAGUGAGAAUGCUGGCAUGAGUAGCGAUAAAGCGUGUGAGAAACACGCUCGCCGAAAGUCCAAGGGUUCCUGCGCAAGGCUAAUCCGCGCAGGGUGAGCCGGCCCCUAAGCCGAGGGCGAAAGCCGUAGGCGAUGGGAACCAGGUUAAUAUUCCUGGGCCGGGUGGAGGUGACGGAUACCGUGUAUCGUACGUCCUUAUCGGAUUGAACGUGCGGUGAAGGUGUCCCUGGAAAUAACCCCACCGUAUCGACCGUACCCGAAACCAACACAGGUGGACUGGUAGAGUAUACCAAGGCGCUUGAGAGAACUGCGUUGAAGGAACUCGGCAAAAUGCCCCCGUAACUUCGGGAGAAGGGGGCCCUCGCACCGGGCAACCGGUGUGGGGGGGCACAGACCAGGGGGUGGCGACUGUUUAUUAAAAACACAGGGCUCUGCGAAGCCGUAAGGCGACGUAUAGGGUCUGACGCCUGCCCGGUGCCGGAAGGUUAAGGAGAGGGGUGCAAGCUCUGAACCGAAGCCCCGGUAAACGGCGGCCGUAACUAUAACGGUCCUAAGGUAGCGAAAUUCCUUGUCGGGUAAGUUCCGACCUGCACGAAUGGCGUAACGACUUCCCCGCUGUCUCCAACGCAGACUCAGCGAAAUUGAAUUCUCCGUGAAGAUGCGGAGUACCCGCGGUUAGACGGAAAGACCCCGUGCACCUUUACUACAGCUUCGCAGUGGCACUAGGAAUUGAUUGUGUAGGAUAGGCGGGAGGCUAUGAAACGUCGACGUCAGUUGGCGUGGAGCCAUCCUUGAAAUACCGCCCUCUUGUUUUCUGGUGUCUAACCGCGGCCCGUUAUCCGGGUCCGGGACCCUGCGUGGUGGGUAGUUUGACUGGGGCGGUCGCCUCCUAAAGAGUAACGGAGGCGCGCGAAGGUAGGCUCAAGCCGGUCGGAAAUCGGCUGUUGAGUGCAAUGGCAUAAGCCUGCCUGACUGCGAGAGUGACGGUUCGAGCAGAGACGAAAGUCGGUCAUAGUGAUCCGGUGGUCCCGCGUGGAAGGGCCAUCGCUCAACGGAUAAAAGGUACGCCGGGGAUAACAGGCUGAUCUCCCCCAAGAGUCCACAU